GGGCCCAUAGCUCAGCCAGGUUGAGUGCUGGGCUCCAGAUAACAUUGGGUCUGAAGACCCCUAAAGGGGAAUGAAUUAUAUCUGGAACGGAGAGACCCAGUGGUCGGGGGUUCAAAUCCCUCUGGGCCCA
This 130-nucleotide transfer RNA is filed under the name Sulfuracidifex tepidarius. Its description in RNAcentral is "tRNA-Trp". It matches the Rfam family "tRNA". From Rfam's summary of the family: Transfer RNA (tRNA) molecules are approximately 80 nucleotides in length. Their secondary structure includes four short double-helical elements and three loops (D, anti-codon, and T loops). Lineage: Archaea; Thermoproteati; Thermoproteota; Thermoprotei; Sulfolobales; Sulfolobaceae. The record is from RNAcentral.